RNAcentral lists this ribosomal RNA (253 nucleotides) under uncultured bacterium. RNAcentral's name for it is "partial 16S ribosomal RNA". It matches the Rfam family "Bacterial small subunit ribosomal RNA", at positions 524 to 776 of the family's 1533-position model. The record is from RNAcentral.
UACGUAGGCAGCAGGCGUUGUUCGGAGUUACUGGGCGUAAAGGGUGUGUAGGCGGUUCUUUAAGUUUGCUGUGAAAUCUCCCGGCUUAACCGGGAGGGUGCGGUGAAUACUGAGGGACUAGAGUACGGGAGAGGAAAGUGGAAUUCCUGGUGUAGCGGUGAAAUGCGUAGAUAUCAGGAGGAACACCGGUGGUGUAGACGGCUUUCUGGACCGUAACUGACGCUGAGACACGAAAGCGUGGGUAGCAAACAGG